UACGGAGGGUGCAAGCGUUAUCCGGAAUCACUGGGUUUAAAGGGUGCGUAGGCGGCUUAGUCAGUCAUGGGUGAAAGUUCUGGGCUUAACCGAGGAAUUGCCUAUGAUACUGCUGAGCUUGAAUCAGGAUGAGGUAAGCGGAAUGUGGCAUGUAGCGGUGAAAUGCAUAGAUAUGCCAUAGAACACCGAUUGCGAAGGCAGCUUACUGGACCUUGAUUGACGCUGAGGCACGAAAGCGUGGGGAGCGAACAGGAUUAGAUACCCCCGUA
This 269-nucleotide ribosomal RNA is filed under the name uncultured prokaryote. RNAcentral's name for it is "partial 16S ribosomal RNA". It matches the Rfam family "Bacterial small subunit ribosomal RNA", at positions 524 to 792 of the family's 1533-position model. The record is from RNAcentral.